Molecule: long non-coding RNA, 3904 nt
Organism: Brienomyrus brachyistius
Lineage: Eukaryota; Metazoa; Chordata; Actinopteri; Osteoglossiformes; Mormyridae
Exons: 3
Source: RefSeq, a predicted model, not a curated record
CCGGACGGACGCCCUGCGGGUAGUGCCACCCAUCCAUCCCCGACCCACCGUCCCAUUUAGGCCGCAUUAUAUAAAGGCUCUGCCGGUCGACGCGACAGCAAAGACAGAAACAGCCCCGAGAGAGGUUCGAAGCUGCGAUCUGCCGAUCGCAAGAAUUGAUGACGGGACGGUCGCCCUGCGGGUAGUGCCACCCAUCCAUCCCCGACCCACCGUCCCAUUAAGGCCGCAUUAUAUAAAGGCUCAGCAAAGAAACAGCCCCGAGAGAGGUUCGAAGCUGCGAUCUGCCGAUCGCAAGAAUGAUGACGGGACGGUCGCCCUGCGGGUAGUGCCACCCAUCCAUCCCCGACCCACCGUCCCAUUUAGGCCGCAUUAUAUAAAGGCUCUGCCGGUCGACGCGACAGCAAAGACAGAAACAGCCCCGAGAGAGGUUCGAAGCUGCGAUCUGCCGAUCGCAAGAAUGAUGACGGGACGGUCGCCCUGCGGGUAGUGCCACCCAUCCAUCCCCGACCCAACGUCCCAUUAAGGCCGCAUUAUAUAAAGGCUCAGCAAAGAAACAGCCCCGAGAGAGGUUCGAAGCUGCGAUCUGCCGAUCGCAAGAAUGAUGACGGGACGGUCGUCCUGCGGGUAGUGCCACCAAUCCAUCCCCGACCCACCGUCCCAUUUAGGCCGCAUUAUAUAAAGGCUCUGCCGGUCGACGCGACAGCAAAGACAGAAACAGCCCCGAGAGAGGUUCGAAGCUGCGAUCUGCCGAUCGCAAGAAUGAUGACGGGACGGACGCCCUGCGGGUAGUGCCACCCAUCCAUCCCCGACCCACCGUCCCAUUUAGGCCGCAUUAUAUAAAGGCUCUGCCGGUCGACGCGACAGCAAAGACAGAAACAGCCCCGAGAGAGGUUCGAAGCUGCGAUCUGCCGAUCGCAAGAAUGAUGACGGGACGGACGCCCUGCGGAUAGUGCCACCCAUCCAUCCCCGACCCAUUAAGGCCGCAUUAUAUAAAGGCUCAGCAAAGAAACAGCCCCGAGAGAGGUUCGAAGCUGCGAUCUGCCGAUCGCAAGAAUGAUGACGGGACGGACGCCCUGCGGGUAGUGCCACCCAUCCAUCCCCGAUCAACUGUCCCAUUCAGGCCGCAUUAUUAAGGCUCUGCCAGUCGACGCGACAGCAAAGACAGAAACAGCCCCGAGAGAGGUUCGAAGCUGCGAUCUGCCGAUCGCAAGAAUGAUGACGGGACGGACGCCCUGCGGGUAGUGCCACCCAUCCAUCCCCGACCCAUUAAGGCUGCAUUAUUAAGGCUCUGCCGGUCGAAGCGCAAGGAUGAUGCCAGGGAUGGACACUCUAUAAAAGAUUAAAUACUAUGCAAUAAAAGACAACACUGCAGAACGAGGAACCUCCUCAAUCGCAGGCACAGUCACUCAGUGUGUCGCGCCAAAUUGCAUCGCAAACAUUUUGGUGCUUUCUUCUUUUAAAAUACCCCGUGGCACUUCUGCCUACUCCUAACAACCCGUGGCUACGGCCGGACGGACCUCCGCUGGACAUUUAUGUGCUAGCUUGCCUUCAUCCCGCUAUAUGUUCCAUUAUUCCUUAACGUAAUUAAAAGUAACACAUAAAGAAAUACAUGUAAUUUGUUUUUAUUUGUUUAUAAGGCAGCCCUUAUCUCCCAAGCCGUAUGGCCCCCUAUCGGCAACACGUGGCAUAAGCAUGUAUGAUACCAUAUAUGGACAUACCUCCUCAACCAAUCAGAAUAAGGGACACGCCCCACUCUUAUGACAUCAGAAGCAGAGCCAAAUUAGGCUGUGCCCAAGGUACCAGGUAACAUCUCUAUUGGGCCCCUGAGCAAGGCCCUUAACCCCUGAUUGCUCCAGUGACAGUCUGACAUCAGUUUAUAUUAUAUGUUGCUUGGGGUAAAAGUGUUUGUUAAAUGUUUUCGACUCACUAUGCUGAUGCUCCUCCCCAUUUUCCCUCAGUGUUAGCAUCAUUGCAGUAGCAGCCUGCAUGAGCAGUAUUUUUUUCAUAUUUAUUUAUAUGCCCUAUUUUGAAGCAAAGCAACUUAAUAGGGUUUAAUGUGAAUUUGCUAUGUCUCAGCCGCUCCUGUUUAAACGCCCCCCCCCGUUUCCCCUCCAACAGUAGCGGCGUUAACGAGAGUCGGCAGGUGUUACAGGAGCCAGACUUCGCCCAGUCACUGCUGCGCGACGUCCACGUGCCCAUCGCGCGCAAAUCCCGCGGCACAUCCACGCAGGGCACCUCUACACACGCCUCCUCCACCCAUCUGGCCAUGCUGGACGAGCAGCGCAGCCACGCCGGCAGCGUCCAUAGCAAGAUGAGCAGCUACCAUGGUAGCCUGCACCGCUCACGGGAUGGCAGGUACACCCCCUGCAGCUACCGCGGAGUAGAAGAACACCCCAUCCACCUGGGAACGCCCCGCCUGAAUGAGCAAUCGCGGCACGGCAGCAUGCAGCGCCUCGACAGCCAAUCGCGGCACAGCAGCGUACGGGACCUCAGCAGUGCACCGCCCCCUCCCAUCACACAUGGAAGCGGCAUGAAUCGGGUCAUUGAGGAGGACGGGACAAGUGCUUGAGCUUGGUCAACCUGGAGGAGGUGCUGUGCAGCCGGUAGCCCGGACUGAGAUGCUUCCAUGUGCUGUGGACAUUACGGGAGUCCGCCCACUUCCUUACAAAAAUGGAUCAGAUACACUGUAAAGGCCAAAACCAGGAAGUGGACAUAAGUAAGUCUAGGGGAAUUACUUUGCAGCGUGAGAUCUGGCUUGUGGAAGCUGUGACUAACCAGCAAAAAUGUUUCAUGUACAGAUCUUCGUUCCUGUGGCAUUAUCAGUGCUGGAAUACAGAGCAGCUACUAAUAAGCUAGAAUUCAUCUUCUGGUCUAAUUUCCCAACAUGUAAAUCCUGUCUGCAAGCCAGCUACAGCCUUUUCUCCGUCUCAAAUUCCCGCGCCUCCUUCUCUAUGCCAAGGAGGGCGUUUUUUUUUCUCCCCCUUUGGUUUUGUGGUGCCGUUGUAGCUCGUGGGACAACCGCCCUACCCUGGGGAACAGGGAGGGAUAAUUAAAGUAAGUCUUGCUGGAGCGGUGUGGCUGAGCUUUGAUGUCACACAGGUGCAACCCUUGAGCCGGGAAAUGAAGUGGCAGUCUGCAGAAGCCCCGCCCACCUUCUAGAUCCGCACAGCCCUUUGCCAUGGAGGUCGAGAGGCUCCUCCAUGUGCAGGUAUUAUGGCCUCAAAGGGCUCUCCACUUCACUUCCUGUUAUAUUUCCUUGCUGGUGUGGAUCAGGAUGUGUAGAGCAGUGCAGUGCACUGAUUGAGCAUGAACUGCUACAACAGGAACAAAUAUGCAGUUACACUGAAGUCUGGAGUAAAGAUUCUUAUCCAUGGCUUUGAGACCUGAAUGUUAAAAAAAAAUAUAUAAAAAUGUUGAGCCAAAAUCCCACAUUCACGAACGGGUUAAGUUUAAGAUGUUUCGCUUCCAGCGUUCCUCUACCUCCUGUGCUUGGUUGCCUAGGUAACCGUAAGCGAGAGUGUGACAGUUGAAAAGUUGACUCGCACAACUAUGGUUGACUGAAAUUACAGCAAAUUGUAACUUAAUUAUACAAGUUGGAGAUGCCAGUAUAAAAAAGAAAAAAAAUCACCUGCAAACCACCGAUGGUCUUAAAGCUUCUGCAGGUAACAUUUGAUUAUUGUGGGUUUUUGAUAUCACUGCAGCAACGUUCAAUGCUGUAAACAAAACCAAACUGCGGACAAUUCCGAGGAAUCUCUACCCUCCGUUAUCUUUAAUUGGAAAUCUGCACAUUCGCCCUCCAACAUGUGUACAAAAGAUUUUAGCACUUUAACUUCGACUCUAGGUGUGUUGAAUCUGUAUAGGUGUUAUGUAACUCUUUGAAUUAAAGUCAUUUUGUAAAGAAUUA